AUUAUGAAUUUGAUUGACCAAUGGUCGUAAACACACCCAAUAGUUAAUGAGUUUGUUGGCAUUGAGGGAAAAAUAUUGAAUCGGAAACGGAAAUGAUGAAGGACACGAAUUGUUAUGAUGAGAAAGAGACACCAAGGGAAAUUGAUGAUAACCAUGAGAAUUUGGAAUAAGUAUUAAAGAUUAUGAGCCAACAACUUGUCAUGUUCCAUGGUGGUUGAUAUGGUGAACAAGGAGAAGAAAAGAAAGAGAGAAAAGGGAGGAAAGAAGAAAGAAGAGAAGAAAAAGAGAAAAAGAAAAAUUCGACAGAGAAGAAAAAUCGAAAGAGAAAACGAAAGAGAUUCUGUUAUUUUCUCGCCUUCUUUUCUUUGGUUAAUGUUUGUUACGCACAACAUUUUCCUCUUUAUUUUUAAUUCUUAAUUUUGUUUAUUUAUUUUCUUAUUUAAGUUAAUUAACCUUUUUCACCAUCUUCUCCUUUUAAUUGUAGUCAUUUCAAUUAAUUGUCGGUUAUUCAUUUAACUGAUUGUCUCUUUUUUAGAAAUUUACAUUUUUGCUUUUUCUUUUUCUAUUCAUCUCAUAACAUUGGAUUUACCAUUUGACUACAAUACUCUUCAUCUCUUGUGUUAAUCUCUUCAUCUAUUUACCUGAUUAAUUGGUUCUCUAAGAUGAUAAUCUUACUGAUCGUUUUGGGUUGAUGUCAAUUCAAAUUGGGCGAAAAUUAAUUCUCUCCAUUAAAGUCUCUUAAUCCAUUGAGCGUUUCUAACAUUGACUUUGAUUGGAAAACAAAAACAAUUUUCUGGAAAAUUCUAAAUUCUAUAUAUCCAAUUAUGGUUCAUUCUUUCGAGGAAAUGGAAGAAUAUGAUGUUUAUCCAAAAGAAUCUUCUGACAAUCAUCUUCCUGUUAUUAAUUAUGGUUCAUCUUCAAUGAAAAAGAAUCGUCUGGUUCGUCAGGAUGCUUUCGAUUGUGUUGAGCCCCCAGGCUCUCAAAUGGCUCAAAAAGGUUUACCAGAUAAACCAAAGGAACAAUAAAAAAAUGGAGGCCAAAGUGGAAAUUGAAAUUCACCAAUAACAAUACAUUAUUUUCAGUCGUUUUUAUUAUAUCCUUCAUCCUCAUCAUCAUCAUUAUAAUUCAUCGAUGGUCAUUGGUAAAAAUGAAACCAUAACCCUUUCACCUAUGGAAACAUGAACAUGAUUGAAAUGAGUAAUCCAAAUUGUUUUAGAUAAUUUCAAUUCUUGACCAUCUUACUGCCUACACAAUUUACUCAUUCUCAUGAUACAAUAAUUUUGUUUGGUCUGCAUUUCAAUCAAUGUUUACAUGUUCACGUUCAAAUGUCAAUGGUGUUUCAUCCUCAUCAUCAUCUUUAUUCUGGUCAUUUUCACAUAAUCAACUGCUCAUCUCUAUAAUCUGUUGAUUCUCAGUAAUUCUUGGGAUAAAGAAAAACAUUCCUCAUCAAUUAUUUAUCCAUGAAUCUUCCAAAAAAUUAACUAAUUACUGUUAGUUCGUCAUUUUAUAUAUUUAAUCACCUCAACACCUUAUAAAAUUCAUCGCCAGUAAUUUAAGAGCUUCUUUGGUAGCAAUAGAUAUUAUUCUUGAUUAGUUAUCAUGAAACAAUGAUCAACGGAAUCGUUUUAAUCAAUUUAUCUUCCGCUUUAAUCACAAAUUCAGCUAAUUCACUCAUCAAUUCACGUUCUAAAUCAUAUUAGUUACAGUUUCAUGGUUAAUCCUUAAUCAUUGCUGCAUAGUGACAAUGAUUAACAUUAACAAUUUCAAUCUGAAUCUCGAUCAAUUAGUUAAUUAUCCACAUAGAAUUGAUCAGUUGUUAAUUUGUCUCCUUGUUUAAACUCAAUUUACUCUCUUAAACUAACAAUAAUUGUCUCUCAUUAGAUUUAGCUCAAACAAUAUCAAUACAAUUAACCGAAAUUCUAACUAAAUUAACAAAGCAAUAGAAAAGACAAAACAGUUUGAUCAGCAUGUUGAUUAAUCAAUUGAAUUUAAUUACUGUUACUCUUAAAAAACUAAUUAUUACCAUGUUAUCCUCAUAUAAUCUUAUUCCAAAUGCAUUUUUAGUGAUUAACUAAUUGUUAUUUUGACAAUUUGUUAAACAAUUAAUAGAAUUGAAAAUCUAAAUUCAACAAAACAAAUGAAACCUGUACCUUAUACUAAGGAUUUAACAAUUAACUUAUUAAUUAGAUGAUAAAGAAAAAGACUCAAGAGUGAAAACAAAUCUUUUUGUUGUUUUUAAUUAAUUUUUAAUUGUACAAUUAGAUUAGAGAUUAUCUAACACUAUCCCAAUGUUAAUCCUAAAUGAUUUAAUUGUUGAAACAAAAAGAAAACCUUAAAAAAACUUAUAUUGUAAUAAAAAUAUUGAUACAAUGAUUUAA
This is a long non-coding RNA of Panonychus citri (citrus red mite), 2378 nucleotides long. RefSeq lists it as uncharacterized. The record is from RefSeq and is a predicted model, not a curated record. The transcript has 2 exons. NCBI's taxonomy places the organism in Eukaryota, Metazoa, Arthropoda, Arachnida, Trombidiformes, Tetranychidae.